UGCAGCUGUGUCAAAUUCAGUGCCCGCCCCACCCACGGCUGGCACAGGGACACUGUAACUCAUGGGCUCUGUUCCUCUAUGCUGAGCCUCAGGGAUAAAUUUUGUUACAGACAUUG
Molecule: small nucleolar RNA, 116 nt
Filed under: Echinops telfairi (small Madagascar hedgehog)
Lineage: Eukaryota; Metazoa; Chordata; Mammalia; Afrosoricida; Tenrecidae
Description: Small nucleolar RNA SNORA5 (ENSETEG00000024177.1)
Rfam family: Small nucleolar RNA SNORA5
About the family: ACA5 is a member of the H/ACA class of snoRNA that guide the sites of modification of uridines to pseudouridines.
Source: RNAcentral